AGAUAACGCUGGCGGCGUGCCUAACACAUGCAAGUCGAACGGUCCCGCAAGGGAGAGUGGCGGAAGGGUGAGUAACACGUGGGAAUCUACCUCCUCGCAGGGAACAACCUCUCGAAAGAGAGGCUAAUACCCAAAGGGUCAGAAAUGAUCAGAGUCGAAAGGCGUGAGGAGAGGAGCCCGCGGCCCAUCAGCUAGUUGGUGAGGUAAUGGCUUACCAAGGCUACGACGGGUAGGGGAUCUGAGAGGAUGUCCCCCACACUGGAACUGAAACACGGUCCAGACGCCUACGGGUGGCAGCAGUGAGGAAUAUUGGACAAUGGGCGAAAGCCCGAUCCAGCAACGCCGCGUGGAGGAUGAAGGCCUUCGGGCCGUAAACUUCUUUAGAGGGAGACGAGAAAGGACGGUAUCCCUAGAAUAAGCGACGGCAAACUACGUG
RNAcentral lists this ribosomal RNA (436 nucleotides) under uncultured bacterium. RNAcentral describes it as "bacterial SSU rRNA". It matches the Rfam family "Bacterial small subunit ribosomal RNA", at positions 31 to 507 of the family's 1533-position model. The record is from RNAcentral.